GGUAAAUUUAUAGUACCAGGUAUUUAGGUAUAACUGACAAUUCUGAUCAACUUUUUUCAAAAUUUAAUCAAAUAUUUUUUCGUUUAGAGAUUUUCAAAGGUUUUUGUUCUGCAAAAAGGAAUGAAUAAACUAGCUCUCACAUUGUAUAAAAUACAACCUAAUGACAGACAACAAACCCACAGAUGGACAGACAGCCUCAGAUUUUUUUGUAGGGUAAGUUUUUUUUGGGUACCAAACCCUAAAAGAUACAAUAGCAUUAUUCUUGUAUACUAAAUCCAGGAUUCAAAACUGUCUUCAGUAUAUAUUUUUUUCAAAUUUUGACGACUGUUUCUGCUAUUGUUUGUUAUCAUAUUUAAUUUUGAAUAUCCAUCUACCAGCAUAGAGUCUGACACGCAAAACAUGAGCUAGACAAUUUUUAGACAUUCUUCAUACAGCCACACCAAAAUAUAUGUCAAAUGUCAGUACAUGAAUUGUCAUUUGCAUAAAACGUGUUUACUUUUUUGCUGCGAAAUUAUUUUAAACCAUUAAAUAUGAAGACUCCUAUUAAGAAUGAGGCUAGAAGGCUAAUAUUCAAUAUGAUUAAUAAAUUUAAUGUGAAAAAUAAAGACAAUGAACAGAUUUUCAAUGUAAAAGACCAAUGUUUGGUUACAAUCUUGGAAGCCAUUGAAUGGAAUAAUUGUAUAGAACACGUCAUAAAAAACGAAAAUAAUUAUGUUGAAAAAGAUAACAUUCUUGAAACGCAACUGGAAAGUUUUACUAUAAAUGUAAAAGAUGAUAGUAGUGAUAGUGACGAAUCUCUUGAAGUAGUUUUAUAGAUUCCGAUUUUGAUUACGAAUCACAAUAAAUAAUGUUAUAAUAA
Trichoplusia ni (cabbage looper) is the source of this 859-nucleotide long non-coding RNA. RefSeq lists it as uncharacterized. The record is from RefSeq and is a predicted model, not a curated record. The transcript has 2 exons. NCBI's taxonomy places the organism in Eukaryota, Metazoa, Arthropoda, Insecta, Lepidoptera, Noctuidae.